Molecule: long non-coding RNA, 1038 nt
Organism: Magnolia sinica
Lineage: Eukaryota; Viridiplantae; Streptophyta; Magnoliopsida; Magnoliales; Magnoliaceae
Exons: 4
Source: RefSeq, a predicted model, not a curated record
ACUGAUCAUUUGCAUCAUAAUUAAUAUCUAAUGCAUAUGACUUUUUCAUAGCAUGCUUGUUCAUAUAGGAUGUCAAAUUCUAGUUCUUGUUCAGCCCCAAAUUUAACAUUUUAUAUAAAGCAUUUCCCAACAUGUUAGUUCCUUAUAGCAUGCCUAUCUGAAAGGGCCUCUUUCUGUUUGAUCAAUUAUUUUCAUUUUCUUUAAUCAAUUUCUAUCAGGUCAAUGAUGACCAUAAUGUUAUAAGAGAUUCUAGUGGCCAUACCAUUGAGGCACAGUAUGUGGAGAUGGAUAAUGCUACUAUUAACUUAAGAAACUUCUACACUAUGGCCUACCUGGGAGUGUCAGCCAAAGAAAUCCCAAAAUAUUGGCUCUUAUUUCAAGUAUCUGUGCCACCACUUGGAUGGAGCACCUACUUUAUUUCUAAAGCUGGGGGACAAGAAGCAAGUAAUGGGCACAUGUCAGUUACGAAUACUUCACAAAAUGAGACAUUGGAGGUUGGACCUUGGAAUUUGAAGAUGUCCUUUUCAUCAACAUCUGGACAAUUGAAACGUAUGACGAAUUAUAGAACAGGGGUGAAAGAUUUGGAUGUGGAACUUGAAAGUACUAAGCAGAAAAGUAAAUAAAACUUGCAACAAGUCAUCUUAAUUGAAAGGGAAAGAGUUACUCAAAUGCAGUGGGAUAUGGAAGAACUUCGUAGGAAGCAUUUGGAGAUGGAGUCGAAGCUCAAGUUCGAACACGAUGAAAAGAUUCAUUUGGAGUUGGCAAAAGUGUCUGCCAUUCAUGAGGAGUUAUUGCUGCAAGAAUUGGAUGUUGCAAAAGAACAACUUAAGAACCUGCAAAAACAUCAAGAAGAGCUGGAAAUGAAAUCAAAAGUGGAUAUUAAACUUCUUAUCAAAGAAGUUAAACAUGCUAGAUUGGAAAGUUUUAGGAGAGGCUUGAGCAAAGUGAAGUAUUGUUUAUUUAGAAAUGUGAAUGUAGGAUGCAUUGUAUGAUUUGAUUGCUAUUUGUAAUAAAUGCAUCAUUUUUUUCCUGAUUGCA